This 704-nucleotide ribosomal RNA is filed under the name Staphylococcus argenteus. Its description in RNAcentral is "partial 23S ribosomal RNA". It matches the Rfam family "Bacterial large subunit ribosomal RNA", at positions 444 to 1150 of the family's 2925-position model. The record is from RNAcentral. Lineage: Bacteria; Bacillati; Bacillota; Bacilli; Caryophanales; Staphylococcaceae.
CUGGGAGGACCAUCUCCUAAGGCUAAAUACUCUCUAGUGACCGAUAGUGAACCAGUACCGUGAGGGAAAGGUGAAAAGCACCCCGGAAGGGGAGUGAAAUAGAACCUGAAACCGUGUGCUUACAAGUAGUCAGAGCCCGUUAAUGGGUGAUGGCGUGCCUUUUGUAGAAUGAACCGGCGAGUUACGAUUUGAUGCAAGGUUAAGCAGUAAAUGUGGAGCCGUAGCGAAAGCGAGUCUGAAUAGGGCGUUUAGUAUUUGGUCGUAGACCCGAAACCAGGUGAUCUACCCUUGGUCAGGUUGAAGUUCAGGUAACACUGAAUGGAGGACCGAACCGACUUACGUUGAAAAGUGAGCGGAUGAACUGAGGGUAGCGGAGAAAUUCCAAUCGAACCUGGAGAUAGCUGGUUCUCUCCGAAAUAGCUUUAGGGCUAGCCUCAAGUGAUGAUUAUUGGAGGUAGAGCACUGUUUGGACGAGGGGCCCCUCUCGGGUUACCGAAUUCAGACAAACUCCGAAUGCCAAUUAAUUUAACUUGGGAGUCAGAACAUGGGUGAUAAGGUCCGUGUUCGAAAGGGAAACAGCCCAGACCACCAGCUAAGGUCCCAAAAUAUAUGUUAAGUGGAAAAGGAUGUGGCGUUGCCCAGACAACUAGGAUGUUGGCUUAGAAGCAGCCAUCAUUUAAAGAGUGCGUAAUAGCUCACUAGUC